Molecule: non-coding RNA, 2077 nt
Organism: Nicotiana tabacum (common tobacco)
Lineage: Eukaryota; Viridiplantae; Streptophyta; Magnoliopsida; Solanales; Solanaceae
Source: RefSeq, a predicted model, not a curated record
UGAUUUUCACGCUACUGAUUUUGGUCAUUUCAUCUUCUUCAUCAGCCUAUUUAUUUUUCAUCCUUAGUAUUUCUAUUCAUGCCUUCUUCAUUUCUCCAUUUUGUUCCAUUUCUCUCUCUCCACUUUUCAUGCUCCGACUGGAUUUACCUGUUGCAAAUGCAACUGAUCGGUCACCUCUAAUUCUACAUGUUUUCACACUUUCUUUAUCUUUAAUUUUCUCCUACUUAUCUCUUUCUCUAUCUUCUCCAUUAGAGUUAAUAGUGUUCUGCUAUGGAUACACUCUCCAAACCACACAUGCAUCCUAAUAAGCCAGAUAAAAUCCAAAAGCGUAAGGACGGAAUGAAGAGAAUAUUUUCGAGUAUUGCUACAUUUUCCUCAAUUCUUUCUUGGUUCCUUAAAAUAGUACCACAAUCGCACGCUUUAAGGAAGAAAGCGAGGAAAUAGAUGAGGUCAUUCUAUCUACAAGGUAGUAAAUUAUUAACUUUUUCUUUGUGAUGGGUUGUUUGUAAUACGAUUUAUACAGCAAAGUUGUUAUUAAAAUGAAAAAAGAAGAACAGAUAUAACAAAUUGAGUUCGAUUCAUUUGUUUGGCAUGGUUGUCCUUUUGAACUAAAUUGCAGAUUAAAAGUUUGAUAAAUUUGGAGCUUUUGGUCGAAGUAAAUAGCUCCCACUUUUUAUCGAGUAUGACAUUUUGAAAUGUAUAAUUGAGCCCAUAAGGUUAAAAUGAUUUGGAUCUCAUAUGAGAUCAGAAGUCUUACUUAAUUUAUAGUUGUGUCCUGCUUUAUUUUUUUAUUUGCUUGCUAGGUUCAAUGUCUCAAUAAUGGUUAAGAUAAUGAAUGUCAAUUUGUAGCAGAAAAAUAAUUCCAUGCAUAUUCCAGAGGUUUAAGGUCACCAUAAAAGAAGAGAACAGAGAAUAUUUAAUUUUUCUUGGUGUUUGCUAAAUGAUUGCAACCUAUAAUGAAAUAAAACAGUUUUCAUCUAGCUUUUGAGUGAAGGGAAGAGAUAAAAUAUAUGUUUUUAUACUCAUAUUGAAAAAACUUAUUAAAGGAAUAUAUUAUAGUAUAUGUUUUAUUGUUAACAUGGUCUUUUGACUUAGUGGCAACACAUUGUAAGUUAAACUUAGACUAUUUGUAAUACCUUAAAACAGAAGGAAUGUGCGGGGCAAACUUCAUUAACAAAAAAGGAAUGUGUGGGGCAAAAAGUUAACAAUUAUAUAAGGUUCUAGCUGCUCUUAGACUAGCAAAAGAGUCUCACUGGCAUAUUGAAUAGUGUUGGGUUCUGAUUUAAUAAUCAAUAUAAGAAUAUACUUUCAUUCUUUAUCAUCACUAUUUUUAUAAUCUCAUAAACUCAAUUGUUUACAUAUUGUUAUAAAAGCAGGUGAUGUUCUAACAUUCUCUAUGUCACCAGAAACUUUAAGCAUCUACUCCAAGAUUCAUUAGAUAAUCAAGUAGUACAUUAAUUUUGGAUUCCUCUGGACAUUCUAGAUUUCAAAUACACUCUUUUCAAGGAUUUAAGUUUACUUGAGUUUCAUUUUAUUCUCUAAGGAUUAAGUUGGUAGUUCUGUAUUGCAGGUGGAGACUUGAAUUCGUUGAUUUUUGUAAGCGUCCUCCUUUCUUAUAAGGACUAAUGUAAAAAUUUAAGUUCAUUGAAGUUAGUUACAGGUGGAAGACGGCGAAACUGGGAGAUAUAGGACUUUUUACAGUUAGAAAUAUCCUCUCUGGCACUUAUCUUCCUUUUGUCUUUUGCAAUUUUGCUGCUUCAACCAAUCAAUGACGGCAUGUACCUCCCAAAAUGGUGUCUUAAGGAUUUGAGAAACAUUUCGACGUACUAUGGAGCUUUUGUGGAAAAAAUAUUAAUUUGAAUUGGACAACAUAUUUAAAGUUUGUGAACUGGUAGCAGAUGCACUGAAAAUGCCUAAAUCUGAAAUCGUGGACCAUACAUGAGUGGAUCUGCUGUUUAUUUACAGAUCCACUUGCUUAGGGUAUGCCUUUGUAAUUAUUUAUAAGAUUUGUGUUUCAUCUGUCCUUUUUUCUACAGACAGUACAAUAUACAAGAUUGCAGACUCAACUUUUCUUUUA